UACGUAGGUGGCGAGCGUUGUCCGGAAUUAUUGGGCGUAAAGAGCAUGUAGGCGGCUUAAUAAGUCGAGCGUGAAAAUGCGGGGCUCAACCCCGUAUGGCGCUGGAAACUGUUAGGCUUGAGCGCAGGAGAGGAAAGGGGAAUUCCCAGUGUAGCGGUGAAAUGCGUAGAUAUUGGGAGGAACACCAGUGGCGAAGGCGCCUUUCUGGACUGUGUCUGACGCUGAGAUGCGAAAGCCAGGGUAGCGAACGGG
This 252-nucleotide ribosomal RNA is filed under the name uncultured bacterium. Its description in RNAcentral is "partial 16S ribosomal RNA". It matches the Rfam family "Bacterial small subunit ribosomal RNA", at positions 524 to 776 of the family's 1533-position model. The record is from RNAcentral.